AAAGGGAGACCUAAUUCAGGUAUAAGACGAAAAAAAGUAGUCCCUACCAAGAAUCAAUCCCAAAAGGUCGGAACGAGGUAUGAGGCUUUCAAACUAGGUUCUGGGUUCAUAAAAGACCUGAAUCAGGAACAAGGGCUAUUAGCUCAGGUGGCUAGAGCGCACCCCUGAUAAGGGUGAGGUCCCUGGUUCGAGUCCAGGAUGGCCCACCUGCACAGGUGGCAAAAACAAGAGAAGCGAGGAAUCAGCACCUUAUCUUACUUAUAUAGUAAGAGAGAAUGCUGGCUCUGAGUAAAGAGUCCAGAGGAACCUUGAAAACUGCAUAGAGCUAGGUGAAAAAGCCAAAAAAGAAGACCGCAAG
RNAcentral lists this transfer RNA (358 nucleotides) under uncultured Microcystis sp. RNAcentral describes it as "partial 16S-23S ribosomal RNA intergenic spacer". The stretch from base 133 to 206 matches the Rfam family "tRNA". The record is from RNAcentral. Lineage: Bacteria; Bacillati; Cyanobacteriota; Cyanophyceae; Chroococcales; Microcystaceae.